RNAcentral lists this ribosomal RNA (497 nucleotides) under uncultured bacterium. RNAcentral describes it as "partial 16S ribosomal RNA". It matches the Rfam family "Bacterial small subunit ribosomal RNA", at positions 28 to 507 of the family's 1533-position model. The record is from RNAcentral.
GAUGAACGCUGGCGGCGUGCCUAAUACAUGCAAGUCGAGCGAACAGACGAGGAGCUUGCUCCUCUGACGUUAGCGGCGGACGGGUGAGUAACACGUGGAUAACCUACCUAUAAGACUGGGAUAACUUCGGGAAACCGGAGCUAAUACCGGAUAACAUGUUGAACCGCAUGGUUCAACAGUGAAAGACGGUCUUGCUGUCACUUAUAGAUGGAUCCGCGCCGCAUUAGCUAGUUGGUAAGGUAACGGCUUACCAAGGCAACGAUGCGUAGCCGACCUGAGAGGGUGAUCGGCCACACUGGAACUGAGACACGGUCCAGACUCCUACGGGAGGCAGCAGUAGGGAAUCUUCCGCAAUGGGCGAAAGCCUGACGGAGCAACGCCGCGUGAGUGAUGAAGGUCUUCGGAUCGUAAAACUCUGUUAUUAGGGAAGAACGAAUGUGUAAGUAACUAUGCACGUCUUGACGGUACCUAAUCAGAAAGCCACGGCUAACUACGUG